This 665-nucleotide unclassified non-coding RNA is filed under the name Pomacea canaliculata. RNAcentral's name for it is "lipoxygenase homology domain-containing protein 1- like, transcript variant X1". Lineage: Eukaryota; Metazoa; Mollusca; Gastropoda; Architaenioglossa; Ampullariidae. The record is from RNAcentral.
UACACAUACAGUCGCUUGCUUGAGUCAGCGGAAUGUGGCGUUUCGUCUUUGUGCUCCUGCUUCUUGGAGGUUGUGGUGCCCAUGGGGUCGAAUGGGAGAUUAUAAUUCAUACAUCUGACGAAGAAGGCGCAGGAACAGACUCCGACAUCUAUAUUACUCUCCAUGGAUCUCGCGGAUCUUCCGCAGAAAUAAAAUUAAAGACUGUUAACUACAACAACUUUAAGAGAAAUCAGAUCGACAGAUUCUUUGUUUCAACGGACGACAUUGGUGAAGUGUGCUCAGUGACCAUCAUGUCUGCCGGUAAUCGCGCUUGUCCUUCCUGGCAUCUCCGAGAGAUUGUGGUUCACGGAAGUUCACAAAAGAAGUUUUGGUGCAACUGCUGGUUAUCAUAUAAAGAAGGAUAUCAGAGGGAACUCCAACCUGAUGUCCCAUGCUCCAGGCAGUAGAAAUAAGUAAAACGAUGUGGGUGCAGACUUUGAAUCCGGCACUGACCAACCAGCAUAAAGAGUUUAUUCACCUGAUGGAACACCUUGCUCAUCCGCUACCUGGAAGACAUUUAAAGAUAUAAAAAUGAACAUUCUUUAAAAUUGAGACAAAAAUGUGUUCUAUAGAAAGACACUAUAUUCAAUGAUCUGCAAAUUUAAUACUGCUUGAAUGUCAUUUUA